CUUCCACAUCAGGCAAAUCCCAGAUGGACUUCUCUGGCAAUCGGAUUUCUACCGAACUUCACCAAUAGAAAGUCUCCAUCCGAGCUUCUACAGCAGAUGACUCUCGCCUGUAGCAUCAGCGCCCAAGGCAUCCGAUAAUAGUGGACUCAUCAGCAAUCUCGAAAACAUCUGAGCUUCUCCUGGAUUGCUGAGAUAGAGAGAGGCAUUCCGCUCCAUCAGAUGUCCCAACUGAGCUUCAGCCGUCAGGCCUGAACUCUCUGGCAAGUCACGACAAUGGCCACUAUCCUGCUCUACUCUCUGUAACGGAUUUCACAUGGCUCCAUCAUUCUCUGGCAAGUCGUGACAAUGAACACCACUCCAGUCUCUAUAACAAACUCCAUGUGGCCCUAAACGGCCCCCUGACGCCACUACUCUCUGUAACAAACUAUGCGUAGCCCCGAACGGCCCACUACCAGGUGGUUACAAACAUCGCUGUCAAUCAGUUACGCUCUCCAUCUAUAAAAAGGGACCGCCAGAUACGUUCUUCUCUAAGUUCUAAACUCUAUCUCAAAACUCUGCUAAAAUUUUUAUUCGAGUGCUCCAUUUCUGUUGAGGCAGAGUACUAACUUGAGCAUCGGAGGAUCUUGCCGGAGCAACCCCAACUCCGGUUUAGACUUUCCUUGUAGGUCCCGACAGUGGAUGCAAUCUCCUCGACUCCAGCUUCUCCGAUGUCGGCAGAAUUCUAUACUAACAUACUUUAUAUUGAUUAUAUGAAGAAAAGAAAGAGAGAGGAUGUGAAUGUCACAUAUCUCUGGCACUGCCGACUUAACCAUAUAAAUGAGUCAAGAAUUAACAAGUUAUACAAAGAUAAAUUCUUUGAUCCUUAUGACUAUGAAUCAUAUGGAAUUUGUGAAUCUUAUCUCAUAGAGAAAAUGAUCAAGACUCUAUUUACUAGAUAUGG
Molecule: long non-coding RNA, 940 nt
Filed under: Elaeis guineensis (African oil palm)
Lineage: Eukaryota; Viridiplantae; Streptophyta; Magnoliopsida; Arecales; Arecaceae
Description: long non-coding RNA (EGUI_LNC052588)
Source: RNAcentral